Gossypium hirsutum (cotton) is the source of this 87-nucleotide non-coding RNA. The record is from Rfam. Lineage: Eukaryota; Viridiplantae; Streptophyta; Magnoliopsida; Malvales; Malvaceae.
CACGUCAGCGCGCUUUGCUAAUGUGGCAACAAAGCGCGGCCUACAGAACGCGAUAUUUGUCCACGUCAGCAAAGCGCGCUGACGUGG